RNAcentral lists this long non-coding RNA (262 nucleotides) under Lathyrus oleraceus (garden pea). RNAcentral's name for it is "Pisum sativum (pea) long non-coding RNA (PSAT_LNC012410)". The record is from RNAcentral. Lineage: Eukaryota; Viridiplantae; Streptophyta; Magnoliopsida; Fabales; Fabaceae.
UUCCACAUAAACACUUCUCCCCCUUUUUAGUCAAAAUUGACCAAAGGUGACCAAUUAGACAAAAUAAAUGUCAAUUAGCCUAGCAGAGAAUGUCAGCACAGAUGUUAUAACAUUAAAAAUGUAAAAACAUAAUUGUUCAGGAGAAACAAACCAUCAUCAUACACAACUGUGAUAGCUGAGAUAAUGAACAAAUCCAUGAUUAAGAGCCCAAAAUAUUACAAAUAGGCAUCAAUGAGGACUGCCACAAAUUACACAUUUUUCA